This 74-nucleotide transfer RNA is filed under the name Actinomycetes bacterium. RNAcentral's name for it is "tRNA-Pro". It matches the Rfam family "tRNA". From Rfam's summary of the family: Transfer RNA (tRNA) molecules are approximately 80 nucleotides in length. Their secondary structure includes four short double-helical elements and three loops (D, anti-codon, and T loops). Further hydrogen bonds mediate the characteristic L-shaped molecular structure. tRNAs have two regions of fundamental functional importance: the anti-codon, which is responsible for specific mRNA codon recognition, and the 3' end, to which the tRNAs corresponding amino acid is attached (by aminoacyl-tRNA synthetases). tRNAs cope with the degeneracy of the genetic code in two manners: having more than one tRNA (with a specific anti-codon) for a particular amino acid; and 'wobble' base-pairing, i.e. permitting non-standard base-pairing at the 3rd anti-codon position. Lineage: Bacteria; Bacillati; Actinomycetota; Actinomycetes. RNAcentral also lists the same sequence under 2 other names. The record is from RNAcentral.
CGGGGCGUAGCGUAGUGGCUAGCGCGCCUGCUUUGGGAGCAGGAGACCGGGAGUUCGAAUCUCCCCGCCCCGAC